CCACCCAGGCGUCCCCCAAAACUGCUUUCAAUGAUCAAUCAUGACCUUAUGCUCAGCUUAAAACAUGUGAGGAAAUACAGGGAGGGUUUUACCUUCGCCAGGGCAAAUGCAGGCCUUAGCAAGAAGGCAGGCAUGGAAUUGUCUGGGACAGGAUGAUUUCCGGGAGAAGCUCUGGAAAGGCAGAGGACAUGAUUCAGCCCUAAUUUGGUAAUCUGAAAAGAGAAGUUUUAAGAAUUUUUUGGAAGAUCCUGUAUCCCUUUGAGAAGCUGACGAAAGCGAGAGACUCCUCAGAAAAAUCCACACAAAAAUUUAUGAAAUUAGAUCACAAGUAGGCGGAGAGUGAGGCAGAGAGAGAGAGGAGGAAGCACGCUCCCCGCUGAGCAGAAAACCCCAUGUGGGGCUUGAUCCCAGGACCCUGGGAUCAUGACCUGAGCCGAAGGCAGAGGCUUUAACCCACUGAGCCACCUAGGUGCCCCUAAAUAAAUCUUAAAAAAAAAAAAAUCUCCCCAUCCUCUCCUUCCAGGUGUGCACACACAUUCUCUCUCUCUCUCAAGAAAACAAAAAAAACAAAAACAAAACCUCCAAUCAGAGGUAUCUUUCCAUUGCUUGCCUCUUUAUCAAUGCCUUUCUCAACUCUUUAGGGGGUCAAGGGCUCCUGUGAGAAUCUAAUGGAGGCCAAACAGACCCCUUCCCAUAAAGGUGCAUAUCCAGACCAGUCAUUUGCAUAUGAUUUCAGGGACUCAGUCUGAGGGCUGCCUCUUCGGGCCAUUAGACCCCUCUUCCCAAAACUGUAAGCCUUGUUCUGUGAAGUCUCUUACUUAUUUGCAGCCACCUUUGCUUUGUGUCACUUGUGGAUAAAAAGUCUCUUUGUAAA
This is a long non-coding RNA of Mustela lutreola (European mink), 874 nucleotides long. RefSeq lists it as uncharacterized. NCBI's taxonomy places the organism in Eukaryota, Metazoa, Chordata, Mammalia, Carnivora, Mustelidae. The transcript is spliced from 2 exons. The record is from RefSeq and is a predicted model, not a curated record.